UGCGGGGUGGAGCAGGAGCAGCUCGCUUGGCUCAUAACCAAGAGAACGCGUGUGCAAAUCACGCCCCCGCAACCA
Molecule: transfer RNA, 75 nt
Filed under: Myxococcales bacterium
Lineage: Bacteria; Pseudomonadati; Myxococcota; Myxococcia; Myxococcales
Also listed under: 1 other name
Description: tRNA-Met
Rfam family: tRNA
About the family: Transfer RNA (tRNA) molecules are approximately 80 nucleotides in length.
Source: RNAcentral